This 236-nucleotide unclassified non-coding RNA is filed under the name Hevea brasiliensis (rubber tree). Lineage: Eukaryota; Viridiplantae; Streptophyta; Magnoliopsida; Malpighiales; Euphorbiaceae. The record is from RNAcentral.
UUUAGUUUUGUCACCUUCAUGAGUAGAUGCAGCCUUCGAAUUUCAAAUAAGGUAGUUUUCAAAACUAUUGUAAACAAAUUCUGCUCACACACACACACAUUCUUUAUGUCAUGAAAUAUUUCCAUAAAAUAAACCACACAGAAAAAGAAAAAGAUUGUUUUUUAUCUCAGUAUUAUUAUGUGAUUUAGUUAAUAAGCUGCUGGAGCUGCUUCCUUUUAUGGAAGUUUGCUGUGAAA